This 405-nucleotide ribosomal RNA is filed under the name uncultured bacterium. RNAcentral's name for it is "partial 16S ribosomal RNA". It matches the Rfam family "Bacterial small subunit ribosomal RNA", at positions 30 to 526 of the family's 1533-position model. The record is from RNAcentral.
AUUGAACGCUAGCGGGAUGCUUUACACAUGCAAGUCGAACGAGUGGCGGACGGGUGAGUAAUAUAUCGGAACGUGCCCAGUAGCGGGGGAUAACUACUCGAAAGAGUGGCUAAUACAGCAUACUGUUUUAGCGGGCGAUAUCGGAUUAGCUAGUUGGUGGGGUAAAGGCUCACCAAGGAAACGAUCCGGAGCUGGGUUGAGAGGACGACCAGCCACACUGGGACUGAGACACGGCCCAGACUCCUACGGGAGGCAGCAGUGGGGAAUUUUGGACAAUGGGGGAAACCCUGAUCCAGCCAUCCCGCGUGUAUGAGAAGGCCUUCGGGUUGUAAAGUACUUUCAGUCGGGAGGCGUUACCGACAGAAGAAGCACCGGCUAACUCCGUGCCAGCAGCCGCGGUAAUAC